ACGCUGGCGGCGUGCCUAAUACAUGCAAGUCGAACGGGAUUCUUUGAUCAGCUUGCUGAGAGAAGGAUCUAGUGGCGGACGGGUGAGUAACGCGUGGGAAUCUGCCUCUUACUGGGGGAUAACAGUGGGAAACUACUGCUAAUACCGCAUAAGAUCUUCGGAUGAAAGGUGCAACUGCACCGGUAAGAGAUGAGCCCGCGUCCCAUUAGCUAGUUGGUGAGGUAAAGGCUCACCAAGGCGACGAUGGGUAGCCGGCCUGAGAGGGUGACCGGUCACAUUGGGACUGAGAUACGGCCCAGACUCCUACGGGAGGCAGCAGUGGGGAAUAUUGCACAAUGGACGAAAGUCUGAUGCAGCGACGCCGCGUGAGGGAUGAAGGCCUUCGGGUUGUAAACCUUUUUCGCUUUUGACCAAGGCAGCAUUUUGGUGUUGUUGAGGGUAUGAGGUAAAGAAGCUCCGGCUAACUACGUG
Molecule: ribosomal RNA, 471 nt
Filed under: uncultured bacterium
Lineage: Bacteria
Description: bacterial SSU rRNA
Rfam family: Bacterial small subunit ribosomal RNA
Source: RNAcentral